ACUUAAAUUGGAAAAAACUUCGGUAUACCCCUUUUGGGGGUAGUAAAAAGGAGGUGUGACAGUCCAUAUGUCACAAAGAUGUAUCUAACUUUAAGUAGCAUUACUGGUGGCGAACGAUAAAGAAGGACAUUGUUAUGCGUGUUUCACGGUGUUUGAAUUUCCAGUAGGUGUGGACAGAUUGACCAAUUCUACGUAUUUCAUUCCAGUGUUAGCUUCUUACACAUUAGAGAGAUUAGCUUAUAUCUAGAGAGAUUUUUUGCUUGCACGGUAUGCUCAUUUCUAUAAUUACAAACUGUGGCACUCAAUUCACAUUGCACUUUUGGAGAGCUAUGCAAGGAAGAUUGUGCACUCAAGUAGAGCUCAUCAUGACAUUUAACCCAGAGACAAAUGGCCAGUCCGACCGAAUUAUUCAGAUCCUUGAGGAUAUAUUGAGAGCCUGUAUUAUUGAUUUUUGAGGGCUUUGGUGUAAGGCCCCGUAAAAGUUUGCUAGUGAUCUAAGGUUUUAUAGUGCCAAGGACAAGUUAUGAUGUUUAGAAGGUUGUAGAAUAAGUUUCACACAGAUUUGUGGACUGCACAAUGCGUCGCGAAGUGUGUAGAAGAACCAGCUCAAGAGGAUGAUUCUUAGUCAAUUAUGCGGACCAUGAAUCAGCUUCGCUAACCACAGAAACGUCACAGAAUGGGUCAGAAGAGUGCUAGUUUUAGAGAUCUUUUCGUGGUGAACUUUCCGGAGUGCAUAUCAAUUUCACGGACCGCAGAUCUGUCAUAGAAAUAGUUGGGCCACUUAGGCAAUUUUUGAAGGAAGAAUCUAUAGUCCAAUGUGCGGACCGUAAAACAUUAUGCAUACCGCAGAUUCCCUGCAUAUCUGACCAGUCCAUUUAGAAAUUUUAGAUGACCAUUUAACGAUCCCUUUUGCGAACUGUGUAUUGAAGUGAUCCCUUCAAUAAUGGAAAUGUUAGAUGGGAAUUGAACAUUGGAUCUUAUGGGAUGGUGAUUGGAAGUCAUAAGCUUCCAAACUUGAGUUUGGGUAUUACGGAGAGUAGGGAGAAGGUAUUUUUUGAUGUAGUUAUUGGUUGGGUGUAGUUUGGGUGACCAUGCAUGUGUUGUUGAAGGUCACAUAGUAACCAAGGGUAACUAUGGGUGUGAAUUGGUCAUGGAAGAGGUGUGAAGGAUGAGAAAGCACAAUUACUAAGAUGGUAAAGGGCUAUUCCCCCUACGUAUUUGACAAAAUAUUUAAAUGACUUACACAUAGAAAUCCUCUAAUGUUGGUCAAAUUAAUUUUUUGAUGUAGAUUGAAGUAUAACGAGUGGAGCAACAUAGUAGGAACCCUAAGGAAGUUUGAUUAAGUGGAUACAGGUGGUACCUCAGCAGGCGGCACAGAUUCACGAUAGGAGUGCAUCCUUUCUUUAGCUAAUUAUGGUGAGCCCUACUCUACACCAGGGCCCUCAUAUUGUAUUUUGGUCUUCUUGUAUAUUUUUUUGGGUAUCGUCAGGGCCUUGUCACCGGCACUUUCUUACUUUACUCAUGACAGUUUAAGGAUCAGUAGAUAAAUUGUGGGUCACGUAUGUAUGGGAAAAUUAUAAAUGUUGUUGUCUUUUUUCUUCCACUUAUAACUAUUGGCUUGUAAUGUUUUGUCAACUAUUAAUGGGAUUCUUAAGUAAUGGAAAUCAGCAUUGCGUA
Non-coding RNA from Nicotiana tabacum (common tobacco), 1677 nucleotides. Lineage: Eukaryota; Viridiplantae; Streptophyta; Magnoliopsida; Solanales; Solanaceae. The record is from RefSeq and is a predicted model, not a curated record.